GACGAACGCUUGCGGCGUGCCUAAUACAUGCAAGUAGAACGCUGAAGAGAGGAGCUUGCUCUUCUUGGAUGAGUUGCGAACGGGUGAGUAACGCGUAGGUAACCUGCCUUGUAGCGGGGGAUAACUAUUGGAAACGAUAGCUAAUACCGCAUAACAAUGGAUGACACAUGUCAUUUAUUUGAAAGGGGCAAUUGCUCCACUACAAGAUGGACCUGCGUUGUAUUAGCUAGUAGGUGAGGUAAUGGCUCACCUAGGCGACGAUACAUAGCCGACCUGAGAGGGUGAUCGGCCACACUGGGACUGAGACACGGCCCAGACUCCUACGGGAGGCAGCAGUAGGGAAUCUUCGGCAAUGGGGGCAACCCUGACCGAGCAACGCCGCGUGAGUGAAGAAGGUUUUCGGAUCGUAAAGCUCUGUUGUAAGUCAAGAACGGGUGUGAGAGUGGAAAGUUCACACUGUGACGGUAGCUUACCAGAAAGGGACGGCUAACUACGUGCCAGCAGCCGCGGUAAUACGUAGGUCCCGAGCGUUGUCCGGAUUUAUUGGGCGUAAAGCGAGCGCAGGCGGCUUGAUAAGUCUGAAGUUAAAGGCUGUGGCUCAACCAUAGUUCGCUUUGGAAACUGUCAAACUUGAGUGCAGAAGGGGAGAGUGGAAUUCCAUGUGUAGCGGUGAAAUGCGUAGAUAUAUGGAGGAACACCGGUGGCGAAAGCGGCUCUCUGGUCUGUAACUGACGCUGAGGCUCGAAAGCGUGGGGAGCGAACAGGAUUAGAUACCCUGGUAGUCCACGCCGUAAACGAUGAGUGCUAGGUGUUGGAUCCUUUCCGGGAUUCAGUGCCGCAGCUAACGCAUUAAGCACUCCGCCUGGGGAGUACGACCGCAAGGUUGAAACUCAAAGGAAUUGACGGGGGCCCGCACAAGCGGUGGAGCAUGUGGUUUAAUUCGAAGCAACGCGAAGAACCUUACCAGGUCUUGACAUCCCGAUGCUAUUUCUAGAGAUAGAAAGUUACUUCGGUACAUCGGUGACAGGUGGUGCAUGGUUGUCGUCAGCUCGUGUCGUGAGAUGUUGGGUUAAGUCCCGCAACGAGUGCAACCCCUAUUGUUAGUUGCCAUCAUUCAGUUGGGCACUCUAGCGAGACUGCCGGUAAUAAACCGGAGGAAGGUGGGGAUGACGUCAAAUCAUCAUGCCCCUUAUGACCUGGGCUACACACGUGCUACAAUGGUUGGUACAACGAGUUGCGAGUCGGUGACGGCGAGCUAAUCUCUUAAAGCCAAUCUCAGUUCGGAUUGUAGGCUGCAACUCGCCUACAUGAAGUCGGAAUCGCUAGUAAUCGCGGAUCAGCACGCCGCGGUGAAUACGUUCCCGGGCCU
RNAcentral lists this ribosomal RNA (1369 nucleotides) under uncultured bacterium. RNAcentral describes it as "bacterial SSU rRNA". It matches the Rfam family "Bacterial small subunit ribosomal RNA", at positions 28 to 1381 of the family's 1533-position model. The record is from RNAcentral.